AGAACGAACGCUGGCGGCAUGCCUAAUACAUGCAAGUCGAACGAACACUUCGGUGUUAGUGGCGCACGGGUGCGUAACGCGUGGGAAUCUGCCCUUGGGUUCGGAAUAACAGUUGGAAACGACUGCUAAUACCGGAUGAUGACGAAAGUCCAAAGAUUUAUCGCCCAGGGAUGAGCCCGCGUAGGAUUAGCUAGUUGGUGAGGUAAAGGCUCACCAAGGCGACGAUCCUUAGCUGGUCUGAGAGGAUGAUCAGCCACACUGGGACUGAGACACGG
RNAcentral lists this ribosomal RNA (275 nucleotides) under uncultured soil bacterium. Its description in RNAcentral is "partial 16S ribosomal RNA". It matches the Rfam family "Bacterial small subunit ribosomal RNA", at positions 26 to 329 of the family's 1533-position model. The record is from RNAcentral.